CACUUAUGUCAUUUUUCAUAAGUGGGCCAAAAACAGCAAAAAAGUAAGGCUAUAGCCUUAACUUUUCGUCCAUUUUUAGCCACUUAUGUCAUUUUUCAUAAGUGAGCCAAAAACAACAAAAAAAUAAGGUAACUUUUCGUCCAUUACUUAUGUCAUUUUUCAUAAGUGGGCCAAAAACAGCAAAAAAGUAAGGCUAUAGCCUUAACUUUUCGUCCAUUUUUAG
Non-coding RNA from Paramuricea clavata, 223 nucleotides. NCBI's taxonomy places the organism in Eukaryota, Metazoa, Cnidaria, Anthozoa, Malacalcyonacea, Plexauridae. The record is from the annotation of a GenBank genome assembly.